RNAcentral lists this ribosomal RNA (496 nucleotides) under uncultured bacterium. RNAcentral's name for it is "partial 16S ribosomal RNA". It matches the Rfam family "Bacterial small subunit ribosomal RNA", at positions 28 to 507 of the family's 1533-position model. The record is from RNAcentral.
GAUGAACGCUGGCGGCGUGCCUAAUACAUGCAAGUCGAGCGAACGGACGAGAAGCUUGCUUCUCUGAUGUUAGCGGCGGACGGGUGAGUAACACGUGGAUAACCUACCUAUAAGACUGGGAUAACUUCGGGAAACCGGGCUAAUACCGGAUAAUAUUUUGAACCGCAUGGUUCAAAAGUGAAAGACGGUCUUGCUGUCACUUAUAGAUGGAUCCGCGCUGCAUUAGCUAGUUGGUAAGGUAACGGCUUACCAAGGCAACGAUGCAUAGCCGACCUGAGAGGGUGAUCGGCCACACUGGAACUGAGACACGGUCCAGACUCCUACGGGAGGCAGCAGUAGGGAAUCUUCCGCAAAGGGCGAAAGCCUGACGGAGCAACGCCGCGUGAGUGAUGAAGGUCUUCGGAUCGUAAAACUCUGUUAUUAGGGAAGAACAUAUGUGUAAGUAACUGUGCACAUCUUGACGGUACCUAAUCAGAAAGCCACGGCUAACUACGUG